RNAcentral lists this ribosomal RNA (460 nucleotides) under uncultured bacterium. RNAcentral's name for it is "partial 16S ribosomal RNA". It matches the Rfam family "Bacterial small subunit ribosomal RNA", at positions 338 to 795 of the family's 1533-position model. The record is from RNAcentral.
CCUACGGGUGGCAGCAGUGAGGAAUAUUGGUCAAUGGACGGAAGUCUGAACCAGCCAUGCCGCGUGCAGGAAGACGGCUCUAUGAGUUGUAAACUGCUUUUGUACAAGGGUAAACCUGAAUACGUGUAUUCAGCUGAAAGUACUGUACGAAUAAGGAUCGGCUAACUCCGUGCCAGCAGCCGCGGUAAUACGGAGGAUCCAAGCGUUAUCCGGAUUUAUUGGGUUUAAAGGGUUCGCAGGCGGAUUGAUAAGUUUGAUGUGAAAUGUCCGGGCUUAAUCGGGGAACUGCAGCUAAUACUGUUGAUCUAGAGAGUAGAUGCGGUAGGCGGAAUGUAUGGUGUAGCGGUGAAAUGCUUAGAGAGCAUACAGAACACCGAUUGCGAAGGCAGCUUACCAAUCUAUAUCUGACGUUGAGGCACGAAAGCGUGGGGAGCAAACAGGAUUAGAUACCCUGGUAGUC